CCCCCAACCCCAUCGCCUCUCCAAGAGACGAGGGCGGUCUGCGGGGCGGACAUUGGCCUCCCGUGAGCUUUCGCUCGCGGCUGGCCUAAAAGCGAGUCCUCGGCGAC
RNAcentral lists this ribosomal RNA (107 nucleotides) under uncultured Corylus avellana from ectomycorrhiza. Its description in RNAcentral is "5.8S ribosomal RNA". The record is from RNAcentral. Lineage: Eukaryota; Viridiplantae; Streptophyta; Magnoliopsida; Fagales; Betulaceae.